Molecule: ribosomal RNA, 497 nt
Filed under: uncultured bacterium
Lineage: Bacteria
Description: partial 16S ribosomal RNA
Rfam family: Bacterial small subunit ribosomal RNA
Source: RNAcentral
GAUGAACGCUGGCGGCGUGCCUAAUACAUGCAAGUCGAGCGAACGGACGAGAAGCUUGCUUUUCUGAUGUUAGCGGCGGACGGGUGAGUAACACGUGGAUAACCUACCUAUAAGACUGGGAUAACUUCGGGAAACCGGAGCUAAUACCGGAUAUUAUUUUGAACCGCAUGGUUCAAAAGUGAAAGACGGUCUUGCUGUCACUUAUAGAUGGAUCCGCGCUGCAUUAGCUAGUUGGUAAGGUAACGGCUUACCAAGGCAACGAUGCAUAGCCGACCUGAGAGGGUGAUCGGCCACACUGGAACUGAGACACGGUCCAGACUCCUACGGGAGGCAGCAGUAGGGAAUCUUCCGCAAUGGGCGAAAGCCUGACGGAGCAACGCCGCGUGAGUGAUGAAGGUCUUCGGAUCGUAAAACUCUGUUAUUAGGGAAGAACAUAUGUGUAAGUAACUGUGCACAUCUUGACGGUACCUAAUCAGAAAGCCACGGCUAACUACGUG